Molecule: ribosomal RNA, 153 nt
Filed under: uncultured Lactarius
Lineage: Eukaryota; Fungi; Basidiomycota; Agaricomycetes; Russulales; Russulaceae
Description: 5.8S ribosomal RNA
Rfam family: 5.8S ribosomal RNA
About the family: 5.8S ribosomal RNA (5.8S rRNA) is a component of the large subunit of the eukaryotic ribosome. It is transcribed by RNA polymerase I as part of the 45S precursor that also contains 18S and 28S rRNA.
Source: RNAcentral
AACUUUCAACAACGGAUCUCUUGGCUCUCGCAUCGAUGAAGAACGCAGCGAAAUGCGAUACGUAAUGUGAAUUGCAGAAUUGAGUGAAUCAUCGAAUCUUUGAACGCACCUUGCGCCCCUUGGUAUUCCGAGGGGCACACCCGUUUGAGUGUC